GUUGUGGUUAAAAGCUCGUAGUUGAACCUUGGGCCUGGCUGGCCGGUCCGCCUCGCCGCGAGUACUGGCUCGGCCGGGCCUUUCCCCCUGUGGAACCCCAUGCCCUUCACUGGGCGUGGCGGGAAAACAGGACUUUUACUUUGAAAAAAUUAGAGUGCUCCAGGCAGGCCUAUGCUCGAAUACAUUAGCAUGGAAUAAUAGAAUAGGACGUGUGGUUCUAUUUUGUUGGUUUCUAGGACCGCCGUAAUGAUUAAUAGGGACAGUCGGGGGCAUCAGUAUUCAAUUGUCAGAGGUGAAAUUCUUGGAUUUAUUGAAGACUAACUACUGCGAAAGCAUUUGCCAAGGAUGUUUUCAUUAAUCAGGAACGAAAGUUAGGGGAUCGAAGACGAUCAGAUACCGUCGUAGUCUUAACCAUAAACUAUGCCGACUAGGGAUCGGACGAUGUUAUUUUUUGACUCGUUCGGCACCUUAUGAGAAAUCAAAGUGCUUGGGCUCCAGGGGGAGUAUGGUCGCAAGGCUGAAACUUAAAGAAAUUGACGGAAGGGCACCACCAGGGGUGGAGCCUGCGGCUUAAUUUGACUCAACACGGGGAAACUCACCAGGUCCAGACACAAUGAGGAUUGACAGAUUGAGAGCUCUUUCUUGAUUUUGUGGGUGGUGGUGCAUGGCCGUUCUUAGUUGGUGGAGUGAUUUGUCUGCUUAAUUGCGAUAACGAACGAGACCUUAACCUGCUAAAUAGCCCGUAUUGCUUUGGCAGUACGCUGGCUUCUUAGAGGGACUAUCGGCUCAGCCGAUGGAGUUUGAGCAUACAGUCUGUGAUGCCCUUAGAUGUCUGGGCGCACGCGCGCUACACUGAC
This 857-nucleotide ribosomal RNA is filed under the name uncultured fungus. RNAcentral's name for it is "SSU rRNA". It matches the Rfam family "Eukaryotic small subunit ribosomal RNA", at positions 612 to 1507 of the family's 1831-position model. The record is from RNAcentral. Lineage: Eukaryota; Fungi.